This 840-nucleotide ribosomal RNA is filed under the name Metarhizium fusoideum. Its description in RNAcentral is "partial 28S ribosomal RNA". It matches the Rfam family "Eukaryotic large subunit ribosomal RNA", at positions 74 to 941 of the family's 3401-position model. The record is from RNAcentral. Lineage: Eukaryota; Fungi; Ascomycota; Sordariomycetes; Hypocreales; Clavicipitaceae.
AUUGCCCCAGUAACGGCGAGUGAAGCGGCAACAGCUCAAAUUUGAAAUCUGGCCCCCCAGGGCCCGAGUUGUAAUUUGCAGAGGAUGCUUUUGGCGAGGUGCCUUCCGAGUUCCCUGGAACGGGACGCCAUAGAGGGUGAGAGCCCCGUCUGGUUGGACGCCGAGCCUCUGUAAAGCUCCUUCGACGAGUCGAGUAGUUUGGGAAUGCUGCUCUAAAUGGGAGGUAUAUGUCUUCUAAAGCUAAAUAUUGGCCAGAGACCGAUAGCGCACAAGUAGAGUGAUCGAAAGAUGAAAAGCACUUUGAAAAGAGAGUUAAAUAGUACGUGAAAUUGUUGAAAGGGAAGCGCUCAUGACCAGACUUGGGCCCGGUGAAUCAUCCAGCGUUCUCGCUGGUGCACUUUGCCGGUGCCCAGGCCAGCAUCAGUUCGCCCCGGGGGAUAAAGGCUCUGGGAAUGUGGCUCCCUAGGGAGUGUUAUAGCCCAUUGCACAAUACCCUGUGGCGGACUGAGGUUCGCGCAUCUUGCAAGGAUGCUGGCGUAAUGGUCAUCAGCGACCCGUCUUGAAACACGGACCAAGGAGUCGUCUUCGUAUGCGAGUGUUCGGGUGUCAAACCCCUACGCGUAAUGAAAGUGAACGCAGGUGAGAGCUUCGGCGCAUCAUCGACCGAUCCUGAUGUCCUCGGAUGGAUUUGAGUAAGAGCAUACGGGGCCGGACCCGAAAGAAGGUGAACUAUGCCUGUAUAGGGUGAAGCCAGAGGAAACUCUGGUGGAGGCUCGCAGCGGUUCUGACGUGCAAAUCGAUCGUCAAAUAUGGGCAUGGGGGCGAAAGACUAAUCGAACC